RNAcentral lists this non-coding RNA (21 nucleotides) under Caenorhabditis elegans. The record is from RNAcentral. Lineage: Eukaryota; Metazoa; Nematoda; Chromadorea; Rhabditida; Rhabditidae.
UUGUUUUUUUUUCCCCAUAAA